GGAAUAUUGGUCAAUGGGCGAGAGCCUGAACCAGCCAAGUAGCGUGCAGGAUGACGGCCCUAUGGGUUGUAAACUGCUUUUAUAUAGGGAUAAAGUGCACUACGUGUAGUGUUUUGUAGGUACUAUAUGAAUAAGGACCGGCUAAUUCCGUGCCAGCAGCCGCGGUAAUACGGAAGGUCCGGGCGUUAUCCGGAUUUAUUGGGUUUAAAGGGAGCGCAGGCUGAUUAUUAAGCGUGACGUGAAAUGUAGCCGCUCAACGGCUGAACUGCGUCGCGAACUGGUAGUCUUGAGUGAGUUCGAUGUUGGCGGAAUUCGUGGUGUAGCGGUGAAAUGCUUAGAUAUCACGAAGAACCCCGAUUGCGAAGGCAGCGUACCAGUCCGUUACUGACGCUAAAGAUCGAAGGUGCGGGUAUCGAACA
RNAcentral lists this ribosomal RNA (419 nucleotides) under uncultured Prevotella sp. Its description in RNAcentral is "bacterial SSU rRNA". It matches the Rfam family "Bacterial small subunit ribosomal RNA", at positions 358 to 774 of the family's 1533-position model. Lineage: Bacteria; Pseudomonadati; Bacteroidota; Bacteroidia; Bacteroidales; Prevotellaceae. The record is from RNAcentral.